GACAACAAGAAUGAUGUUCUCCAGGCCUGGAGAAUGGUGAUCAUCACCACUGCCAUCCUCUGAGAAACCAGGAAUCCCCAAACUCAGCGCUUUAGUGAAAUUGAGUCGCAGGCAUCCAACUCAACCAACAAAGCUCUCAAAGCUGCCCUCGCUACGCCGCAGCGGCCGGGAGGGGGCGCCCGAACUCGCCAUGACGCACUGACGACAACGCCCACCCAGCGAGACCCGCCUCCAGCGCCGCGAACUCGAGCGCCUGAUCCAGCCGGAGAUCCCUGCGAGGCGCCGCCGGGGCUCAGGGAGCGCGUGGGGCCGUGGGAGCCCCAUCACGCCACUCUGCCCUUCAGUGGUGCUAACCCAGGUCAUGUGGAUGGAGAGGGAUGUGGAAAGUCUUUGGACUCUCUGGUCACCUUGGUUUCAGUGAGUGAGUAGUGGUCCAAGCAAAAAAGGAAGUUCCAAGAGGGCUGGCAUUUCAUUUUUUCCUUCAUCCUCACCUUUUAAUCCUUCGAAGGCAUAAAACCUGCGAUUUAGAUACAUAACUUUAAUAAAAUGAAUGAAUGAACUGCAGUUCCACCCUUUGAGUUUGUGAAAUCAGUCUUGACAUUAAUUUCUUUAAGAGAAACAAAUGCAAAAAGAUUUGAAAGUAAAACUUUAAAUAAUAAUUUU
Molecule: long non-coding RNA, 663 nt
Organism: Capra hircus (goat)
Lineage: Eukaryota; Metazoa; Chordata; Mammalia; Artiodactyla; Bovidae
Exons: 3
Source: RefSeq, a predicted model, not a curated record